GAUGAAGAACGUAGCGAAACGCGAUACUUGGUGUGAAUUGCAGAAUCCCGUGAACCAUCGAGUCUUUGAACGCAAGUUGCGCCCGAAGCCAUCAGGUUGAGGGCACGUCUGCCUGGGCGUCACAUAUCGUUGCCCAAUGCCUAUUGCAGUGCAAUAGGAAUUUCUAGGGCGAAUGAUGGCUUCCCGUGAGCGUUGUUGCCUCGCGGUUGGUUGAAAAUCGAGUCCUUGGUAGGGUGUGCCAUGGUAGAUGGUGGUCGAGUUAGAACGAUACCGAUCAUGUGCAUGCUCCCCAAAAUAUGGCCUCUAUGACCCACACGCGUCUUUUGACGCUCAUGACGAGACCUCAGGUCAGGCGGGGCUACCCGCUGAAUUUAAGCAUAUCAAUAAACGGAGGA
Molecule: unclassified non-coding RNA, 395 nt
Filed under: soil metagenome
Description: partial contains 5.8S ribosomal RNA, internal transcribed spacer 2, and large subunit ribosomal RNA
Rfam family: 5.8S ribosomal RNA (bases 1-122)
Source: RNAcentral